This 253-nucleotide ribosomal RNA is filed under the name uncultured bacterium. RNAcentral describes it as "partial 16S ribosomal RNA". It matches the Rfam family "Bacterial small subunit ribosomal RNA", at positions 524 to 776 of the family's 1533-position model. The record is from RNAcentral.
UACGAAGGGGGCUAGCGUUGGUCGGAAUUACUGGGCGUAAAGAGCGCGUAGGCGGCUUACCAAGUUGGGGGUGAAAUCCCGGAGCUCAACUCCGGAACUGCCUUCAAAACUGGUAGGCUCGAGUCCGGAAGAGGGGCGUGGAAUUCCCAGUGUAGAGGUGAAAUUCGUAGAUAUUGGGAAGAACACCGGUGGCGAAGGCGGCGCCCUGGUCCGGUACUGACGCUGAGGCGCGAAAGCGUGGGGAGCAAACAGG